GCGGGACCUGUAACAAAUUCAACAGAAUCUUGAAUAUUUUCAAUACUAUGUACAAAGGACUACAACACAUCUGUCUCCUCACAAGGCAGCAGGAUAUUCUUUAUUAUGUACAAAGGACUACAACACUUCUGUCUCCUGACAAGGCAGCAAGAUAUUCUUUAUGUACAAAGGACUACAACACUUCUGUCUCCACACAAGGCAGCAGGAUAUUCUUGAGCUCCUUAACAGUUACAUUUUGACUAGAUUAAUUCCACAAGGCUAAAUAAGGCAGAGGGGGAAGGGAGUCAGUAGCUAAGAUGCAUGACAGCAAAGAAAUGAAUAUAAAAGCUGUUCAAAAUCAAUAUUCAGCUUUGUUAGAGUAGCUAGUUAUAUUGAAAAAGUGAUACAGCGUCCGCUCAUUUUGUGCCACAUCAGAGAAUCCAUUUGAAGAGGCUGGAGUAGUCUAACUGAUAAUGUAGAAACAAAGUAUUAAAGGAAAUAGAUAAACGGCUCAUAUCAUAUCAAGUGCCAAAUAUUUUUUAGUGAUAGUUGGGAGGUUCUCAUUCUGACUCUUGACACUUGACCUCCUCAUUCUGUAUGCUGUUAUAGCCUAUAUAAAAUAUCAUAAACCACAUAUGUUGACAGCAACUCAACCAUAAGCAACAUGUAAAAUUGUAAAAUUGAAGUAAUCCUGUUUGUUGAACAGGUUGAUGACAAAGCUGUGACCAGAGAAUGCAUACUAUUUACAUGCUCCUAUUUUUUAGGUUCUUGCUUUUUUCAUUCAUCAUAUAACUUUUAUCUACAAAUGUAUAUACAUAAGAUUUUGGAAGGACAGGCAAGGCCAGCCUAAAAUGUACAAACACUCUCCCAACAGAUUCUGAUUCUUCAGUUAUAUCUGUGUUGUUAAAAUUCCUAGGCGUUUUAGUGCUAUAAAUAUAUAAGUACGAGUUACUGGAUAACUCUUGGGUUAAAACGUUCAAGUCAGAUAAAUAAAUAUUUAACUAUUGGUCGCCAUGAAUACGGGUGCCUGUAUCUGUAUAUUGGAGAAACAGCAGGGGGCACCAUGGCAACCAUUACGAAACAGAACAGACCCAUGGAAACAUUUCACCCAUUUUUUAAGUAAUAUAAAGGUUGUUUUUCUAUUAAAAUAUAUGAAAUUGCACAUAUCUUUUCAUCUGCAUCAUCCCAUUCAUGAUAAAUUCAAAC
Long non-coding RNA from Esox lucius (northern pike), 1185 nucleotides. The record is from Ensembl. NCBI's taxonomy places the organism in Eukaryota, Metazoa, Chordata, Actinopteri, Esociformes, Esocidae.